Molecule: non-coding RNA, 107 nt
Organism: Acanthosepion pharaonis
Lineage: Eukaryota; Metazoa; Mollusca; Cephalopoda; Sepiida; Sepiidae
Source: the annotation of a GenBank genome assembly
UUACGGCCACAUCAUGUUGAAACACUGGUUCACGUAAGAUUACCGAAGUAAAGCAACUUCGAGCCUGUUCAGUACCUAGAUGGAUGAUCGUUUGGAAAUACCAGGCA